Non-coding RNA from Hordeum vulgare subsp. vulgare (domesticated barley), 117 nucleotides. NCBI's taxonomy places the organism in Eukaryota, Viridiplantae, Streptophyta, Magnoliopsida, Poales, Poaceae. The record is from Rfam.
CAUAUACUCCCUCCAUCCGGAAUUAGUUGACACGCUCAAACGGUUGUAUCUAGUCCUAUUUCAGUGCUAGAUACAUCCAUUUGAGCGUCAACUAAUUACGGACGGAGGGAGUACCUG